Molecule: ribosomal RNA, 406 nt
Filed under: uncultured bacterium
Lineage: Bacteria
Description: partial 16S ribosomal RNA
Rfam family: Bacterial small subunit ribosomal RNA
Source: RNAcentral
AUUGAACGCUGGCGGCAGGCUUAACACAUGCAAGUCGAACGGAGUGGCGGACGGGUGAGUAAUGCUUGGGAACUGGCUUAUGGAGGGGGUUAACGACGGGAAACUGUCGCUAAUACCGCGUACCAUAGGAUGAGCCCAAGUGGGAUUAGGUAGUUGGUGGGGCAAUGGCCUACCAAGGCGACGACCUCUUGAUGGUCUGGGAGGGUGAUUGGCCACCAGGGGACUGAGAAACGGCCCCGAAGUCUAGGGGAGGCAGCAGGAGGGAAUCUUCGGAAAUGGACGGAAGGCUGACCGAGCAAAGCCGCGGGAGUGAAGAAGGGUUUCGGAUCGUAAAGCUCUGUUGUAAGAGAAGCGGUAUCUUAACAGAAAGGGACGGCUAACUACGUGCCAGCCGCCGCGGUAAUAC